AUCCAGCUGACGAGUCACAAACAGGACGAAACGCGCGUUCUGGAU
Molecule: non-coding RNA, 45 nt
Organism: Schistosoma haematobium
Lineage: Eukaryota; Metazoa; Platyhelminthes; Trematoda; Strigeidida; Schistosomatidae
Source: Rfam